UACGUAGGUGACAAGCGUUGUCCGGAUUUACUGGGUGUAAAGGGCGUGCAGCCGGAGAGACAAGUCAGAUGUGAAAUCCACGGGCUCAACCCGUGAACUGCAUUUGAAACUGUUUCCCUUGAGUGUCGGAGAGGUAAUCGGAUUUCCUUGUGUAGCGGUGAAAUGCGUAGAUAUAAGGAAGAACAUCAGUGGCGAAGGCGGAUCACUGGACGAUAACUGACGGUGAGGCGCGAAAGCGUGGGGAGCAAACAGG
Molecule: ribosomal RNA, 253 nt
Filed under: uncultured bacterium
Lineage: Bacteria
Description: partial 16S ribosomal RNA
Rfam family: Bacterial small subunit ribosomal RNA
Source: RNAcentral